This 125-nucleotide small RNA is filed under the name Marmota monax (woodchuck). The record is from RNAcentral. Lineage: Eukaryota; Metazoa; Chordata; Mammalia; Rodentia; Sciuridae.
GCCAGGUGUGGUGAUGCACACCUGUAAUCCCAGUGGCUCAGGAGGCUGAGGCAGGAGGAUCAAGAGUUCAAAGCCACCUCAGCAAAAAUCGAGUCACUAAGCAACUCAGUGAAACCCUGUCUCUA